GACGAACGCUGGCGGCGUGCUUAACACAUGCAAGUCGAACGGAAAGGCCCUGCUUUUGUGGGGUGCUCGAGUGGCGAACGGGUGAGUAACACGUGAGUAACCUGCCCUUGACUUUGGGAUAACUUCAGGAAACUGGGGCUAAUACCGGAUAGGAGCUCCUGCUGCAUGGUGGGGGUUGGAAAGUUUCGGCGGUUGGGGAUGGACUCGCGGCUUAUCAGCUUGUUGGUGGGGUAGUGGCUUACCAAGGCUUUGACGGGUAGCCGGCCUGAGAGGGUGACCGGCCACAUUGGGACUGAGAUACGGCCCAGACUCCUACGGGAGGCAGCAGUGGGGAAUAUUGCACAAUGGGCGGAAGCCUGAUGCAGCAACGCCGCGUGCGGGAUGACGGCCCUCGGGUUGUAAACCGCUUUCGCCUGUGACGAAGCGUGAGUGACGGUAAUGGGUAAAGAAGCACCGGCUAACUACGUGCCAGCAGCCGCGGUGAUACGUAGGGUGCGAGCGUUGUCCGGAUUUAUUGGGCGUAAAGGGCUCGUAGGUGGUUGAUCGCGUCGGAAGUGUAAUCUUGGGGCUUAACCCUGAGCGUGCUUUCGAUACGGGUUGACUUGAGGAAGGUAGGGGAGAAUGGAAUUCCUGGUGGAGCGGUGGAAUGCGCAGAUAUCAGGAGGAACACCAGUGGCGAAGGCGGUUCUCUGGGCCUUUCCUGACGCUGAGGAGCGAAAGCGUGGGGAGCGAACAGGCUUAGAUACCCUGGUAGUCCACGCUGUAAACGGUGGGUACUAGGUGUGGGGUCCAUUCCACGGGUUCCGUGCCGUAGCUAACGCUUUAAGUACCCCGCCUGGGGAGUACGGCCGCAAGGCUAAAACUCAAAGGAAUCGACGGGGCCCCGCACAAGCGGCGGAGCAUGCGGAUUAAUUCGAUGCAACGCGUAGAACCUUACCUGGGUUUGACAUGGAUCGGGAGCGCUCAGAGAUGGGUGUGCCUCUUUUGGGGUCGGUUCACAGGUGGUGCAUGGCUGUCGUCAGCUCGUGUCGUGAGAUGUUGGGUUAAGUCCCGCAACGAGCGCAACCCUUGUUCACUGUUGCCAGCACGUUAUGGUGGGGACUCAGUGGAGACCGCCGGGGUCAACUCGGAGGAAGGUGGGGAUGACGUCAAGUCAUCAUGCCCCUUAUGUCCAGGGCUUCACGCAUGCUACAAUGGCUGGUACAGAGAGUGGCGAGCCUGUGAGGGUGAGCGAAUCUCGGAAAGCCGGUCUCAGUUCGGAUUGGGGUCUGCAACUCGACCUCAUGAAGUCGGAGUCGCUAGUAAUCGCAGAUCAGCAACGCUGCGGUGAAUACGUUCCCGGG
RNAcentral lists this ribosomal RNA (1343 nucleotides) under uncultured bacterium. RNAcentral's name for it is "16S ribosomal RNA". It matches the Rfam family "Bacterial small subunit ribosomal RNA", at positions 28 to 1378 of the family's 1533-position model. The record is from RNAcentral.